This 518-nucleotide ribosomal RNA is filed under the name uncultured bacterium. Its description in RNAcentral is "bacterial SSU rRNA". It matches the Rfam family "Bacterial small subunit ribosomal RNA", at positions 553 to 1074 of the family's 1533-position model. The record is from RNAcentral.
AUUGGGUUUAAAGGGAGCGUAGGCGGAUUGUUAAGUCAGCGGUUAAAGGGUGUGGCUCAACCAUACAUUGCCGUUGAAACUGGCGAUCUUGAGUGCAGACAGGGAUGCCGGAAUUCGUGGUGUAGCGGUGAAAUGCUUAGAUAUCACGAAGAACUCCGAUCGCGAAGGCAGGUGUCCGGGCUGCAACUGACGCUGAGGCUCGAAAGUGUGGGUAUCAAACAGGAUUAGAUACCCUGGUAGUCCACACAGUAAACGAUGUAUACUCGCGGUUUGCGAUAGACAGUAAGCCGCCAAGCGAAAGCAUUAAGUAUACCACCUGGGGAGUACGCCGGCAACGGUGAAACUCAAAGGAAUUGACGGGGACCCGCACAAGCGGUGGAUGAUGUGGAUUAAUUCGAUGCAACGCGAAGAACCUUACCUGGUCUUGACAUGUACGGAAUCCUCCAGAGAGGGAGGAGUGCCUUCGGGAGCCGUAACACAGGUGCUGCAUGGCUGUCGUCAGCUCGUGUCGUGAGAAG